UGUAGCACAUUGUCUAGCUUACAACGACGGGAAAGAGGCAUUGUUUAUGUUUUUACAACGUAUAUCCCAUGAGUUAUUGAUGCCGGAAGUCUGAAUCUGUGAAAAUCUUGCCAACUUUACCUAAAUCCUCGGGUCUCCGGUGUCUAGACUAGCGGCGGUAGCGCUGAGCUACAGGACAUCUGAACACCUCAGGGCAAUGAGGGACGUCUACGUGGAUCAUGUGACCGACCGAGGGUCUGAUCGUGACGAAUCUGCGGACCAAACGUCUGGAGACGACAACUAUCGCCAGUUAACCUGAUCACCAGUUAAACUGGAAAACCGUCUCACUGUACUGCACACUACGUCGUAAGAUUGAGACAAGAAACUUGGAAUGACUUUUCAUAGGUUUCCCAGAGACUAUGAGUUGAGGAGGAAUUGGAAGUUUGUCGGCUUAGACCUGGUGUCAUUCCAUCAGUGUUUAACUUCCCGGCUCAUCUUGGAAGAGAACGUGCCAGAAAGACCACGACCAAGCAGCCUUGAGAUCUUAGGCAGCGUCUCCCUCAGGUUCCUCUCUAUCUCCCCACACAUCCACCAACCACUGGAACACAUCUCCAAAGUUCUGCCGGGCCAGCUCAGCUUCCCCUCAGAAGAAGUGCUGCCACCUGCCAGAUGAAGGAGCCUUUUGAGAGGCAGCUGGCAUCGUGAUUGGACUGUACGUUGGUCUGUUCCAAUCCAGCUUCAGCUCCAGAGACGGCAGGCGGGACGAGUCAACGGAGGACGGGUGGACGAAGGCAUGCAGCUGAGUACAAUCCAGAAAACAACAGAGGAGGAGUGCAGCAGCCCAGAGCCAGAACAAGCAGAGUAGCAUCGUAUGUCUCUUAGAAAACAUCAUAGUGUAGCCUUUGGUAUGAAAAAACACCAUAAUCUACAUCAUAUAUUGUACAAAUAACAAGUCAAAGCAAAGAGACAUACAUUGUAGAAUUGUAGUAAUUGUGGGCUGACUGAUUUACUGAUUAUCGGUAUUUUAUUUUUUACUGAUUUACGGUAAUAAAUACAUUUAAAACUGG
This is a long non-coding RNA of Amphiprion ocellaris (clown anemonefish), 1046 nucleotides long. RefSeq lists it as uncharacterized. The transcript is spliced from 4 exons. NCBI's taxonomy places the organism in Eukaryota, Metazoa, Chordata, Actinopteri, Pomacentridae. The record is from RefSeq and is a predicted model, not a curated record.